This is an unclassified non-coding RNA of Papio anubis (olive baboon), 148 nucleotides long. It matches the Rfam family "Metazoan signal recognition particle RNA". From Rfam's summary of the family: The signal recognition particle (SRP) is a universally conserved ribonucleoprotein. NCBI's taxonomy places the organism in Eukaryota, Metazoa, Chordata, Mammalia, Primates, Cercopithecidae. The record is from Ensembl.
GUCGGGUGUGGUGGUGGGCGCCUGUAGUCCCAGCUACUCUGGAGGCUGAGACAGGAGAAUUGCUUGAACCCGGGAGGUGGAGGUUGCAGUGAGCCAAGAUCAUGCCACUGCACUCCAGCCUGGGUGACAGAGCAAGACUCUGUCUCAA